UUAAGUUAAUAAGGGCGCACGGUGGAUGCCUUGGCACUAGGAGCCGACGAAGGACGCGACAAACGACGAUAUGCCUUGGGUAGCUGUAAGUAAGCGAUGAUCCAGGGAUUUCCGAAUGGGGGAACCCAACAGGUAAUACCUGUUACCUACAUCUGUUAAGGAUGUGAGGAGGAAGACGCAGUGAACUGAAACAUCUAAGUAGCUGCAGGAAGAGAAAGCAAAAGCGAUUGCCUUAGUAGCGGCGAGCGAAACGGCAGAAGGGCAAACCGAAGAGUUUACUCUUCGGGGUUGUAGGACUGCAAUGUGGACUCAAAGAUUAUAGAAGAAUGAUUUGGGAAGAUCAGCCAAAGAGAGUAAUAGCCUCGUAUUUAAAAUAGUCUUUGUACUUAGCAGUAUCCUGAGUACGGCGGGACACGUGAAAUCCCGUCGGAAUCUGGGAGGACCAUCUCCCAACCCUAAAUACUCCCUAGUGACCGAUAGUGAACCAGUACCGUGAGGGAAAGGUGAAAAGCACCCCGGGAGGGGAGUGAAAUAGAACCUGAAACCGUGUGCCUACAACAAGUUCGAGCCCGUUAAUGGGUGAGAGCGUGCCUUUUGUAGAAUGAACCGGCGAGUUACGUUAUGAUGCGAGGUUAAGUUGAAGAGACGGAGCCGUAGGGAAACCGAGUCUGAAUAGGGCGCCUUAGUAUCAUGACGUAGACCCGAAACCAUGUGACCUACCCAUGAGCAGGUUGAAGGUGCGGUAAGACGCACUGGAGGACCGAACCAGGGCACGUUGAAAAGUGCUUGGAUGACUUGUGGGUAGCGGAGAAAUUCCAAACGAACUUGGAGAUAGCUGGUUCUCUCCGAAAUAGCUUUAGGGCUAGCGUCGACAUUAGAGAUUCUUGGAGGUAGAGCACUGUUUGGGUGAGGGGUCCAUCCCGGAUUACCAAUCUCAGAUAAACUCCGAAUGCCAAUGAAUUAUGGUCGGCAGUCAGACUGCGAGUGCUAAGAUCCGUAGUCGAAAGGGAAACAGCCCAGACCACCAGCUAAGGUCCCAAAAUAAUUGUUAAGUGGAAAAGGAUGUGGGGGUUGCACAGACAACUAGGAUGUUAGCUUAGAAGCAGCUAUUCAUUCAAAGAGUGCGUAAUAGCUCACUAGUCGAGUGACCCCUGCCGCCGAAAAUGUACCGGGGCUAAAACAAUUUACCGAAGCUGUGGAUACCUUUAUAGGUAUGGUAGGAGAGCGUUCUAUGUGUGAUGAAGGUAUACCGUGAGGAGUGCUGGAACGCAUAGAAGUGAGAAUGCCGGUAUGAGUAGCGAAAGACAGGUGAGAAUCCUGUCCACCGUAAGACUAAGGUUUCCAGGGGAAGGCUCGUCCGCCCUGGGUUAGUCGGGACCUAAGGAGAGACCGAAAGGUGUAUCCGAUGGACAACAGGUUGAUAUUCCUGUACUAGAGUAUGUAGUGAUGGAGGGACGCAGUAGGCUAACUAAAGCAGACGAUUGGAAGAGUCUGUCUAAGCAGUGAGGUGUGAAUUGAGUCAAAUGCAUAAUUCUAUAACAUUGAGCUGUGAUGGGGAGCGAAGUUUAGUAGCGAAGUUAGUGACGUCACACUGCCAAGAAAAGCUUCUAGCGUUUAAACAUACUCUACCCGUACCGCAAACCGACACAGGUAGUCGAGGCGAGUAGCCUCAGGUGAGCGAGAGAACUCUCGUUAAGGAACUCGGCAAAAUGACCCCGUAACUUCGGGAGAAGGGGUGCUGACUUAAAGUCAGCCGCAGUGAAUAGGCCCAAGCAACUGUUUAUCAAAAACACAGCUCUCUGCUAAAUCGUAAGAUGAUGUAUAGGGGGUGACGCCUGCCCGGUGCUGGAAGGUUAAGAGGAGUGCUUAGCGUAAGCGAAGGUAUGAAUUGAAGCCCCAGUAAACGGCGGCCGUAACUAUAACGGUCCUAAGGUAGCGAAAUUCCUUGUCGGGUAAGUUCCGACCCGCACGAAAGGCGUAAUGAUUUGGGCACUGUCUCAACGAGAGACUCGGUGAAAUUUUAGUACCUGUGAAGAUGCAGGUUACCCGCGACAGGACGGAAAGACCCCAUGGAGCUUUACUGCAGUUUGAUAUUGAGUGUCUGUACCACAUGUACAGGAUAGGUAGGAGUCUAAGAGAUCGGGACGCCAGUUUCGAAGGAGACGCUGUUGGGAUACUACCCUUGUGUUAUGGCCACUCUAACCCAGAUAGGUGAUCCCUAUCGGAGACAGUGUCUGACGGGCAGUUUGACUGGGGCGGUCGCCUCCUAAAAGGUAACGGAGGCGCCCAAAGGUUCCCUCAGAAUGGUUGGAAAUCAUUCGCAGAGUGUAAAGGUAUAAGGGAGCUUGACUGCGAGAGCUACAACUCGAGCAGGGACGAAAGUCGGGCUUAGUGAUCCGGUGGUUCCGUAUGGAAGGGCCAUCGCUCAACGGAUAAAAGCUACCCUGGGGAUAACAGGCUUAUCUCCCCCAAGAGUUCACAUCGACGGGGAGGUUUGGCACCUCGAUGUCGGCUCGUCGCAUCCUGGGGCUGUAGUCGGUCCCAAGGGUUGGGCUGUUCGCCCAUUAAAGCGGCACGCGAGCUGGGUUCAGAACGUCGUGAGACAGUUCGGUCCCUAUCCGUCGCGGGCGUAGGAAAUUUGAGAGGAUCUGCUCCUAGUACGAGAGGACCAGAGUGGACUUACCGCUGGUGUACCAGUUGUCUUGCCAAAGGCAUCGCUGGGUAGCUAUGUAGGGAAGGGAUAAACGCUGAAAGCAUCUAAGUGUGAAACCCACCUCAAGAUGAGAUUUCCCAUGAUUAUAUAUCAGUAAGAGCCCUGAGAGAUGAUCAGGUAGAUAGGUUAGAAGUGGAAGUGUGGCGACACAUGUAGCGGACUAAUACUAAUAGCUCGAGGACUUAUCCAA
RNAcentral lists this ribosomal RNA (2903 nucleotides) under Streptococcus pneumoniae 5787-06. RNAcentral's name for it is "bacterial LSU rRNA". It matches the Rfam family "Bacterial large subunit ribosomal RNA". The record is from RNAcentral. Lineage: Bacteria; Bacillati; Bacillota; Bacilli; Lactobacillales; Streptococcaceae.